This is a non-coding RNA of Triticum aestivum (bread wheat), 125 nucleotides long. Lineage: Eukaryota; Viridiplantae; Streptophyta; Magnoliopsida; Poales; Poaceae. The record is from Rfam.
GGUGUACUCCCUCCGUCCGGAAUUACUUGUCGCGGAAAUGGUUAGAAAUGGAUGUAUCUAUAACUAAAUUAUGUCUAUAUACAUCCAUUUCUUCGACAAGUAUUUUCGGACGGAGGGAGCAGUAG